GUCUUAUAUAUGAGAUACAAUGUGGCCAAAACUCUUUAACCCAGUUAUAGUAUUUUGGGCGAUGACUAAGCCCAAAAGAUUAAGAGAGUUAAGUAUGUUAGGGAUAGAACAAUCCUAGGAUGGAUGACCUAUUGAAAAGUGGGGCGUCAUAUUUAGCAUAAGAACUAAUUAUCAAUUGAAAGUGUGAGAUGAAUCUUGACUGAGCUAGGGUUAUAUAACGGAAAGAGCGAAGCUUCAUACUGUUGACCGUUGUGGAUAGAGCGCAGUUUUCCCACAAGGUCGGUUAAGGCUAGCGAGAUGAGUCUCACAUCAUCAUAUACUUAUGAGUUUGAGCUUGACGAGAACGUCAAGACUUAAAGAGAAGGAGAAUGUGAAACCUACAUAGUUCUAUAUAUGAGAUGAGAUAUAAUAGGACUAAAAUUCUUGACCCGACAAUAGCAUUUUAGACGGUGCUUAGACCCAAGAGGUUAAGAGAGUUAAGCUGCUAAAGCUAGAGUAGUCCUAGGAGAGUUGACCCCCUAGGAAGUGG
RNAcentral lists this long non-coding RNA (529 nucleotides) under Ananas comosus (pineapple). Its description in RNAcentral is "long non-coding RNA (ACOM_LNC020701)". Lineage: Eukaryota; Viridiplantae; Streptophyta; Magnoliopsida; Poales; Bromeliaceae. The record is from RNAcentral.